Molecule: long non-coding RNA, 400 nt
Organism: Portunus trituberculatus (swimming crab)
Lineage: Eukaryota; Metazoa; Arthropoda; Malacostraca; Decapoda; Portunidae
Exons: 3
Source: RefSeq, a predicted model, not a curated record
GUCAUUCUAGCUAGCGUUGACAACAAACACAGAAGGUUCCGGUCCCUCCUCUUGCUCCGACUUCCUUCAGUUGAAUCAUGAGAAGCGUGGCGUGGCUUUGGCAGGCGCUGCUGGCAGCAAUAAUAUUUGUGUUAGUGGCGAAACCUACCGCGGCUAUACCAGCUAUGGGUCCGUUUGGUCGUGUGAAGCGCAGUCCCUCACCUGGGUGGGGAUGCAGUCCAACCUCACAGUGUCAAGAUUCACCAAAGUUUGGAUGAUAGACUCUCUGCUCACUGACUUCAGUCAUGACUGAUUGCUGCUCGCCGAAGAAUUUCCGAAAACACACUUAUUCAUACACACACACACACACACACACACACACACACACACACACACACACACACACACACACACACACACA